GCUCAAAUCGUAUAGGUGGUUAGUACACCGCGUUGUGGCCGCGGCGACCCAGGUUCGAAUCCUGGUUUGAGCA
Molecule: transfer RNA, 73 nt
Organism: Cryptosporidium parvum Iowa II
Lineage: Eukaryota; Apicomplexa; Conoidasida; Eucoccidiorida; Cryptosporidiidae
Rfam family: tRNA
About the family: Transfer RNA (tRNA) molecules are approximately 80 nucleotides in length. Their secondary structure includes four short double-helical elements and three loops (D, anti-codon, and T loops).
Source: Rfam